AGUUUAUUUCUGUUAAUUACCUACAGAGGAGUUCCCUUUGUAGGUAAGACUGUCAGCUGAUUUCUUGAAAGAAACUUCUGAGGCUAGAAAGGACUGUCAAGAAGUAUCCAAAGUGAUGAAAAGCAAAAACCUACAACCUAGACUACUCUAUCCAGCAAAGCUAUCAUUCAGAAUUGAAUAGCACAUAAAGAACCUCCCAGAGAAGGUAAAUCUAAAGGAGUUCAUCAUCACCAAACCAUUGUUAUAUGAAACACUAAAGGGACUUUUUUAAGAAAAAGAAA
This is a long non-coding RNA of Phyllostomus discolor (pale spear-nosed bat), 281 nucleotides long. RefSeq lists it as uncharacterized. Lineage: Eukaryota; Metazoa; Chordata; Mammalia; Chiroptera; Phyllostomidae. The transcript is spliced from 3 exons. The record is from RefSeq and is a predicted model, not a curated record.